This is an RNA transcript of Oncorhynchus keta (chum salmon), 7084 nucleotides long. It is a transcript of the gene named GTPase IMAP family member 8-like, with no coding region annotated. NCBI's taxonomy places the organism in Eukaryota, Metazoa, Chordata, Actinopteri, Salmoniformes, Salmonidae. The transcript is spliced from 3 exons. The record is from RefSeq and is a predicted model, not a curated record.
GCAAGUGUCCACUCCCUUCAGAGUAAAAGCUACACCCCAGUCUUUCAGGAACUUGUUGUAAGCUAGAAGUAAAAGGACUGUUAUUGGGCAUUGACAUGAUGACUAAAAUGAGUUGGAUUGUAACAAUUUUGGGGAGAAACUAAGCACAGAUAAAGCUUAAGAUGAAGAGAAAUGGCAACCAAAGAUUCAUCAACAUGUGACCUGAAAGUUGUCCUUCUUGGUGGCAGAAACUCUGGGAAGAGCGAAGUAGGAAAUGUGCUGCUGGACAGGGAGGAGUUUGUCAUCAAGGAGCGGACCACGUGCUCUAGGAGGGUGGGAGAGGUGGCAGGUGGGUGGGUUACUGUGGUGGACACACCUGGCUGGUGGUGUGACUUCAGGGUGCAGGACACGCCUCGUCAGUCCCUCCCCUGCUCUUUUCUGUUCUUCCCUCCUCUUCUCCUCCAACUCCUGCAGAAUCCCACCCUCAAUCUUACAGUAACAACUGCUGUUGCAUGACAUCAGUUCCUCAAUCUUUCUCAUCAGUUCUGUAACCUGAAAUCCUGAGUUGCUUCUAUUGUUGAGGACAUGAUACCUGUUGCCACAGUUCUCCACAAGCCACUGGAGGGCCUCCCCCUCACUCUCAAUGUGCUGCUCGAUGGUUGUGUCUCCCAGCCAGUCCCCAAAGUUGAACAGGACGAUGAUGUGAGCCCAGACUGCGUCUGUGAUGAGCUCUAGGUGCUCCUGCACAGCUCUCCUGUAGGUCUCUGUGAAGGACCGGUCCACACGCACCAUCAGCAGGAGGGCAUGUGGACCAGGGGAGCAAAGAGAUACACUACACACUAUCUCCUGUCUGUCAACAACAGGACUAUCCUGAGAGAAGUAAUUCAUCCACCAGCCUGGAGUGUCCACCACAGUGACUUGUCUCCCGGCAACAUCCCCCUGCUCCCACCAUGCAUUGCGCUGUUCUCCUUCUGACCUCAAAGCUUCCUCCUUGACCCAGGAUGGUGUUUCCUGCUGAACUCUUCCCUGAGCCCCGAGCUCCAAGCAGUACGACUCUGAUUUCGGAGAGAUGACAUGACUCCCCUGAAGGAAACAAUGCAACAUCAUAAUAGAUAGUGCUUUACGCUGUCAUUUUUAACAAGGAGCACAUGUGCGCCUAAGUUGGAAAAUGUAGGAGCACACAAUGAAAUGAAGCUGCACAAUGAGAAAUAUUUUUUAUUUUUUUAUUUUUUAUUUAACCAGGUAGGCCAGUUGAGAACAAGUUCUCAUUUACAACUGCGACCUGGUCAAGAUAAAGCAAAGCAGUGCGACACAAACAACAUGGAAUAAACAAAAGUACAGUCAAUAACACAAUAGAAAAAGUCUAUAUACAGUGUGUGCAAAUGUAGUAAGGUGGUAAGACAAUAAAUAGGCCAUAGUAGCGAAGUAAUUACAAUUUAGAAAAUUAACAAGGGAGUGAUAGAUGUGCAGAUGAGGAUGUGCAAGUAGAAAUACUGGUGUGCAAAAGAGCAAAAAAGUAAAUAAAAACAAUAUGGGGAUGAGGCAGGUAGGUUGGAUGGGAUAUUUACAGAUGGGCUGUGUGCACCUGCAGCCAAUGGUUAGCUGCUCAGAUAGCUGAUGCUUAAAGUUAGUGAGGGAGAUAUAAGUCUCCAACUUCAGCGAUUAUUGCAAUUCGUUCCAGUCAUUGGCAGCAGAGAACUGGAAGAAAGGUGGCCAAAAUUGGUGUUGGCUUUGGGGAUGACCAGUGAGAUAUACCUGCUGGAGCGCGAGCUACGGGUGGGUAUUGUUAUGGUGACCAGUGAGCUGAGAUAAGGCGGAGCUUUACUUAGUCUGGCGACGAAUAUGUAGCAAGGGCCAGUCAACGAGAGCAUACAUGUACAUGAAGUCGAGGAUCGGUAGGAUAGUCAAUUUUACGAGGGUAUGUUUGGAAGGAGGCUUGGUUGCGAAAUAGGAAGCCGAUUCUAGAUCAAUUUGGAUUGGAGAUGUAUAAUAUGAAUCUGGAAGGAGAGUUUACAGUCUAGCCAGACACCUAGGUAUUUGUAGUUGUCCACAUUUAAGGUAAUAAAGCUAGAAUCCUUCAUUUAUGAAUUCCAAGUCUCACAGCAAAAUUUUUUGGCACAUAUGUGAGUAAAAUGGUCGCACUGUAAAGCCCUGAUAGAACAGAAAUAUUCUAAAAUCUACUGUUGGCAAUAUGGCAAAGCAUUGUGUCCUAAGAACCAUCUUAGUGAUAACUUACCAUUGAGCAGAGAUCUCUGUUUCUGCAUCUUCAUCAAUCUCUGCUGAGCCCUUUGCUCCACUAUCCUCUUCUUUUCCUCCACCUCUUGUAAAAGCAGUUCCUCCAUUUUAAAACAGCUGUGACUAUUUUCUGUCACCAGUCUCUGCAUCUUCCUGAACAGCCCUGUGACCUGAUUUCCACCUGGUCCACUCUUCAUGUUGAGGCAGUGAUACCUAUGACUGCAUUUCUCCACCAGCCACAGGGGGGCCGUGCCUCCCCUCUUGACUUGCUGCUCCAUGUGCAGGUGUCCAGGCCAGUCACUGCAGGUGAAGACGACCAUACAGUGACUCCACACUCUCUCACUGAGGAGGGCCAGGUGCUCCUCUACAGCCCUGCGACGCUUCUCACAGAACACUGAGUGUGCCUCAAUGACGAUAAGGAAAAUAUGGGGUCCCGGGGUGGACAGAGAGACACUGCGCACAUUUUGCAAUUGUUCAUAGUGCUUUAAAUCUAACAAUGUGAAUGAAACACUUUGUAUUCAUACAUUUUAUGUCCACAGCAGACGUGUUAUACAUGACAGUAUUCUUAUUUGUUUGUGACAGGGGAGCUCUACUGUCCCUCAGAGCUGAGAAUAAUGCUGCUGAGUGGCCGCAACACAGGCAGGAGCUCUGCUGGAAACACCAUCCUGGGCAGAGAGCACUUUAAAGUAGGGUGCCAUGCUACUGACUGUGUGGAAGGACAAGGAAAGGGCAGGGGUAAGACUGUGACAGUUUUGGACCCACCAGGCUGGCUGUCAGUGGGUCCUGGCUCCCUGACGUCUCCCUCAGCCUCUGGGGUAACUGUGGUCCUGGUGGUUGUGAAUGUGAGCUCCUCCUUCAGCCACACUGUCUGGAGAACAGCAGAAAAACACCCGGAGGUGCUCGGAGAGAAAGUAUGGAAUAGAAUCAUGGUCCUAUUCCCCUUUGGGGACUGGCUGGGGGACACGACCAUCGAGCAGCGCAUUGAGAGUGAGGGAGAGCCCCUCCAGAGGCUUGUCGAGAGGUGUGUGAACAGAUAUCAUGUGUUGGACAGUAAGAACCAAGGGACUGGUGCACAGGUCACUGAGCUGCUACAGAAGAUAGAGGAGAUGCUGGUGGAGGAGAGGUUGGAGGUUCUACAGAGAAGAGAAUAGGUUGGGAAGAGUCUCACAGUGAUGCAGGAGCCAGAGAUAGAUGGAGUGAUGGGAGAGGGCAGAGAGGUCCUUGUAGCAAACCACACAGAUGCUCCCUUUCAUGAUGCGUGUGAGGUGGCUAGUUCAGAGGACCUUCUAACCCCAGAUGACUCAGGAGCCCCAGACUUUGGUGUACAGGAGUUGGCACUACCAGAGGCCAGUGGAGGAUGGUGGACUGAAGCAAAUCACUCCAUCCUUGAUGUGGAGGGGUUUCUGUCCAGCAUGGCCAGUGUGCUUCAGGGGAAUCAGGAGGGGCUGAUGUGGAACAUGGGGGGCAGACAGACACUAGUGGUGAACCUCCCAGACUGUCUCCACGCUGGACCUACUCAGAGCCAUCAUCUGAGAUGGAAUGGACAGAAUGGUAGAAAACGGGUCACCCUGUUCUCUCCAGGACACCAAGCUCUCCUCCUGGUCCAGCAACCCAAAGAACCAGAAAGAAUGCUGGUGAAGAACCAGGAAGACAUAGUGGAUAUACAGUCCCUUGGACACCCCAGGCUGAGGGACAUGACCCUCAAGGAGAUAACAGAACAGGAGGCCUGCAGGCCUUGAUUGACCAAUGGGGGAACAGUAAUUUGGAGGAGCUUGAAGCCUUCAUUGACUCCUAUUUUGAAAUGGUGUGGAAGAAAACCAUGGGGUCUUUCAUAGUAGAGGAGGACGACUGUCUCACCAUCAACAGCCCAGAGCUGAAUGAUGUUGGGGAGGAUCUUGUAAAUAAUGGUGACCAGGAGGUGCUGUCAUCCAUUGACAAGAAGCUGUCUAAGCUGGACCUCCUGGAAGGCAUGCAGAGAGACUUGCUGGACCUCAGACAGAGUCUGGAUCGCAGCUGUGACAUCAUACAGGAACUCAGUGACAAAAGUAAAGCAACACAGAAGCCUGCUGUUCCCUCUGAUGCAGGGGAGGCAGAAGUGGAGGAAAGUUGCUUAUCGGAGAGAUGUUCAACAAUAACAUAAAUGAUAAGUUAUAGAUUGGUUUGUUUUAUCUAAAUAUGCCCUAACAUCAUUGUUCAGGUAACAACUAAUUAACAGUAUUGAUUUAUUGAUGGAGUUAAUGCUAAUGGCGAGGCAGUAUAUUAACUUCAUGAUGUCAUGUGUUUCCACAAGGGGGAGCCCUCUGACAAGCAAUUGUGGGGGGUUGGUCUCCUGCAUAGGUUACUGUAUCUAUUUCACUACAUGAAAUAUUUCACUCCAUUAUUAUGCAAGAUACCAGUCAUUUUAAAUCAGUUAUUGUUGAUAAUUUCCUAGAUUAUUAUUUUAUUUAUCUUAUGAGGCUUGUAUAAAGACAUAUCAGGGUCCAGAUGACAGCACGUGUCAUGCCAAAAAAGUAACGUAUUAUAUAUCAUGAAACAUAUCAUGCCAUCCAAGUGGCCACUCUUUUUUUGUGUUUGCUCAUGAGACUUGUUCGAGUCAAUGUAAAAAGAAUUGACAGCAACAAAGACUGAGAGCCGUGACCCUCUUAGGUGGUGGGUAAGCUGAGGAUGAAAAACUGUCUGACUGUGCUGUGAUGUGGUGACUGUCUGCAGGUGCUGCAGCCCCAGCCUCAGCCCACUGGCUGAUGACUCAUCUCUCUACAGCAGAAGCAGAACAUGUACAGUAGAACUGGGCUGAUUCACAACUGGAAGGGAAAUACUCUAGGUCUUCACAUUGGGUAGCUACUGUACAUAAAUAAGGGCAUGGAGUUUUUCCUCUUCAGGUCACAUGGUUAGGAAACACUUCAGGUGCUCUUCACAAUUGCUCUCCAUCUUGCAACAUGCUGAGGUGUGUGAGAGGGAGAGAGAAAGAGUGAGAGAGAAAGGGGGAGGAAUAGUAAGAGAGAGAGGGAGAGCAAGAGAGAGAGAUGCAGAAACAGAGCAUGUCCUAAAUUACCUUCAAUCUCCGGUUAAUGAAAAACAGGAAGUUGGUUCAGGCAGACCAGACAUUGUGUUAGCUGAGAAUACCAUAAAGCUGGAAGGCUACAUUUCUAAUAUAAUAAUAUAAUAUAUGCCAUUUAGCAGACGCUUUUAUCCAAAGCGACUUACAGUCAUGUGUGCAUACAUUCUACGUAUGGGUGGUCCCGGGAAUCGAACCCACUACCCUGGCGUUACAAGCGCCAUGCUCUACCAACUGAGCUACAGAAGGACCCUUUCAGAAUUUGCCCAAGAGCCAGAGAGAUGAGUCACACAGACACAUACAGCGGCUAAUAGAUUUCUGGCUGGGUUAAUAAAAACAAUUUGCAAAGCCUGGUGCAGUCAAGGUCAAUCUCUAUCUACCUUUAAAGCCAACAUGUAAGAACCUCAAAGUAAAGUGUUUUUAUUGGGCAAUUUCUGUUGAAAUCUGGAAAUGUGAAGACAUAAAAAAAAUGUUUUUGCCAAUAUAUUAUUUUUUGGACCCUCUGAACGAGGUUACAACGUUGACAGAUUGAUGAAAAAAUAGAUGUUUUAUUGUCACAUACACCAGAUAGGCAGUUCUGUAAAAAAUAUUGAUACUCAGACAUUGUAGAAUUGCUGAAACUUAGGCCCAAAACCAGCCAGACAAUUGUACUUUCCGCUCAAUACUGUUUUUUUGUCAACCUCUAGUUGAACUCUCUACAUCCAAUAUCCACCAUUGUUAAUAGCAACAAUGGGUUAUUUUAGAGUAAAGAAAUCCCACAGCCACAAAGUGAGGCUCUUGGGGCAUAAAUGCACUUGUUCACAUAGCCUCGGCAUCCAGUCUCUUCCCUGGCCUGGUGUGUUUUUCCCUACUCAAACUAGAAGUACCAUUCUGGGAGCAUGCAUUAUGCAGCGAUCCCCAGACUGCUUGUAGAGAGUGAGGAGGGUCCCACCUGGUGUGUUCAGAGUGCAUCUCCCCACCGCCCACCUUACUGGCCAAUGGGAGAGAGGGUUGUGACUGCCAUCCCAGCAUUGCCUGAACUGGAAAGAAAGGAGAGUAAGUACAAAGUGGUAAACAGAGAGGAUAUGGGAUGUUUUAAUAUGUUGUAAUAUGAACCAUGGCUCUCAAACAACAGAUGUAAACUCCAAAAGGGUUCUCCGGCUGUCCCCAAAGGAGAACCCUUUUGGGUUCCAUAUAGAACCCUCUGUGGAAAGGGUCUCCUAUGGCGACAGCCGGAGAACCCUUUUAGGUUCCAGAUAGCACAUUUUUUCCUAAGAGUGUACAAGGGAGGAGGAAGGGAAAGAGUGGUGAUGAGUAGAUUUGAUGUUUGCAAGACUUCCUCCCACUGUGAGCCAGAGGUGACUUGCAAUCAUGAUCUCUUUAUCUCUGUCAGUCUCUCUCUGCAUCUCACUGGAUUAUUCCCUCAUGAAUAUCAAUCCCCCUUUUAUCCACUCCUCCCUCUCUUUCUCACCCUCUUGCUGUAACAUCCAUCCUCCUUUAGCCUCCAACAGCCUAACACAGCAGGCAUAGAAAGACAUCUGAGCGAAGUUCCCACUUCCGAUGUUCAGGGGAAACUGAAGUUAGGUUGAAAAUACUCCAUCCCUGUAAAGCAGAUGUUAUGUGUGUUCUGGUGACGCAGCAUAGGAUAGUCCUCCAGUCACUAGUCUUCUUCUCUCUACCCCCCCAAUCUUACAGCUCCAGUUGUGAGUCUCAGCCCUCCCCACUCAUUAAAAAAGAUUUGCAGCUUGGACGGAAGCUGGAGAGAAAUGGAUCUCUCAGCGUGAUGGUGGUGCAGUGGCCGUUUGGCCCAGGAGACAGUCUUGAGCCCACAUUCAU